AUGUAUGUUCAAGAAUUUGGUGCUGAAUGCGCUUUCCCGAACCAACGUCGUGUUUACUUGUCAUACCUGGAUUCUGUGAAAUACUUCAGACCUGGGAUUAAAGCAGCCACUAGAGAGGCCUUGCGUGCAUUCGUCUACCAUGAAAUUCUGAUAGGAUAUCUUGAAUACUGCAAGCAGCGUGGAUUCACAAGCUGUUAUAUAUGGGCUCGCCCACCUCUGGAAGGUGAUAACAUUUUUUAUUGCAAUCCUACGAUUCAGACGACUCGAACAUCUGACAUACUCCGGGAGUGGUGCUUAGCCAUGAUUCGAAAAGCUACUAAGGAGGAGAUUGUUGUUGAGCUUACAAAUCUGUAUGACCAUUUCUUCAUUACUACGGGAGAGUGCAAGGCUAAGGUUACUGCUUCUCGUUUGCCUUACUUCGAUGGAGGUUACUGGCCAGGAGCUGCUGAAGAUAUGGUCAAUCAACUGCAUCAAGAAGAAGAUGACCAAAAGUUUCAGAAGAAGGGUAAUGCAAAGAAAAUUAUUAGAAAAAGAGCUCUUGAAGCUGCUUGCCACACUGAUCUAAGUGGAAACGCUUCCAAGGAUGAUAUGCUGAUGCAAAAGCUUGGGGAAACCAUUUAUCCAAUGAAGGAGGAUUUCAUUAUGGUCCAUUUGCAGUAUUCUUGUAGCCACUGUCGUAGCUUUAUGUCGUCUGGAAAACGUUGGGCUUGUCAUCAAUGCAGAAGUUUUUACAUCUGUGACAAGUGCUACAGUGCAGAACAAGAGCUUGAAGAGAGGGAGAGGCAUCCGAGCAAUAGUAGAGAAACACAUGAGCUCCAUCCGGUUGACAUUGUGGGUGUGCCUGAAGAGACAAAGGAUGGAGACGGUAUCAUAGAAAGCAAGUUUUUCGACACCAGGCAGGCGUUUCUCAGUCUUUGUCAAGAGAACCAUUACCAAUUUGACACCCUUCGCCGUGCCAGGCAUUCGUCGAUGAUGGUGCUGUACCACCUACAUAAUCCCACUCUCCAGCGUUUCAAUAGGGCUGUGUAG
This 1029-nucleotide ribosomal RNA is filed under the name Triticum aestivum (bread wheat). Its description in RNAcentral is "partial small subunit ribosomal RNA". Lineage: Eukaryota; Viridiplantae; Streptophyta; Magnoliopsida; Poales; Poaceae. The record is from RNAcentral.